CAUCGCACUCACACCAAACCAUAUGACAAAAGAUAGUGUUUCCGACAAUCCGCUCAUCGCUACCAUUGAUUUGAUUUAAUGAAACCAACAACUUAGCGGAAAAACUGUACUACAAUGUUUAUUAAAGGGGUCGUUUCCUCUUUUCUUUCUUUUUUGUGUGUGUGGAGUUUUUAGCACGGUGGAAUGGAGAAGGAUUGCCGACAACUGUUUGAUGUAUUGCAUGAAUGAACCAAUUAAAAAAGGAGGGUUGGGAAUUGCAGGAAACCCUAAUUCAUGAUUUCAAUUCGGAUCUGAUCCGUUGUUUUUUUGCAGAUUGGGAUUUGAUCGGAAAAUUUGAGGGGAGAAGAGCAUAGUUGACAGAAGAGAGUGGGCACACGCAGGCAGUUGUAUAGAGUUAUACCUUUGUGGAUGCGUGUGCUCACUUCUUUUCUGUCACCUUCUCUCUCUUUCCAAACAAGGAACACACACGCACCGUCGCCAUGCCUUGGCCAUUUUUCGAGCUCUUAAUUUAUUUGUGAUAUGCUGCUCGAAUUCAAGUACCCGAGAAUGAUUAGUUCCAGAUCCUCAGGUAUAUAGUUCUUGAUAUAUACUGUAUCAUUCUUUUUUGAUUUACUGGAAUUCGGCAUUAAUUUUUUCUAUUAGGCUAAGUUUCUGAGCACGUCGCCAGCAUUAAUUUUUUCCAUAUCAAAUACUCCCUACAUUUGAUUAAGCUAAAAAAAAAAAUUAGAAUUGGAGUUCUUUUAUUCUUGCCUUUUCAAAUUUCAAUCCAUCCUCUCUUUUCUCUUUUCUCUUUUCUCUUUUCUUUCUAAAUUGGAACUAUAAGAGAUUGAUAUUCAUUGAUGUAAUUUUGGCAAUUUUUUUAGCAUGAUGGUCAAAUUUUCUGAUUACCUCAAAAGUCAAUCUCUCAAUUUGGACAUAGGCACAGAACAUUUGUUGACUGUGACUUUAACUAUAGAACAUCUAGAAGUGAGAUUAAUUUGCGAGUUUCUAUGCUAUUUUAUCCACAAGAACGAAUAUAUAUAGAUUGGACUGAGAGUAAACUAAUAUGACAUAUUUUUAGGAACUUCGAUCAAUACUUUGUUGGCUCAACUCAAGUGGAAGAUUGAGACGAAUGAUUUAAUUUAAUUAGCAAAGUUGUUUAAUAAGUUAGCAUUCUAGGCCUUGGUUACUGGUCAGUAUAAUGAGCUUAACGUGCAUAUUCUGCAAGAAAAGUUGCGUAAGUAUGCAGGAAAGGGUACAAGUCAGCGGGAAAGGAAUCGGAAGACUCAAGUGAAAAAAGAUGCCAGAAGAGUGCAAUACUGACCAGGAUGCAUGCCCAAAGGCUCGAGAUGGAGAGGAGAGGAUCGCUAGUAGACGACCAACUACUUAACGGGGGCAGAAGCGAUAAUGUACAAGGAAGAACAACCCUAAUUUUAGGGCAAGCCACCCUAUAUAUAGAAGGUCACAUGAAGAAUGAAGGGAGACAUAACUCAUUUUAGACACACUUAGAAACCGCUUUCGGAAGUCCUAGUUCCGAAGCGGAGGCUAGCUCCACACCUAUCGUUCCUCGCCUCCAAUCAUGAUCACUUGAAGACCUAGGUAUUCCACCGGGGAUAGUUCACCGUCAACUCCUCCAGCCGUUCUAGUCGCCAGAAUACUGUUUCAUCGCCUGAGUGACAAAACAAUCUUUACUUGCUUUUUUAGUUUAAAUUUGUAUUUCAUUUUAUCUCGUUGGAUUUGCUGUUGGAACUUAAUUCUCUGGUUGUUUUUGAAGUAUCGUGUUGAGAUCCAAACGCUAUGAUAUGGAAGUUUGCUUUUAUUCAUCU
Salvia splendens (bonfire salvia) is the source of this 1805-nucleotide long non-coding RNA. RefSeq lists it as uncharacterized. NCBI's taxonomy places the organism in Eukaryota, Viridiplantae, Streptophyta, Magnoliopsida, Lamiales, Lamiaceae. The record is from RefSeq and is a predicted model, not a curated record. The transcript has 2 exons.